This 253-nucleotide ribosomal RNA is filed under the name uncultured bacterium. RNAcentral describes it as "partial 16S ribosomal RNA". It matches the Rfam family "Bacterial small subunit ribosomal RNA", at positions 524 to 776 of the family's 1533-position model. The record is from RNAcentral.
UACGUAGGGGGCUAGCGUUGUCCGGAAUCAUUGGGCGUAAAGAGCGUGUAGGCGGCCUGGUAAGUCCGCUGUAAAAGUCAAAGGCUCAACCUUUGAAUGUCAGUGGAUACUGCCGGGCUAGAGUCCGGAAGAGGCGAGUGGAACUCCUGGUGUAGCGGUGGAAUGCGCAGAUAUCAGGAGGAACACCGGUGGCGAAGGCGGGUCUCUGGGCAGUAACUGACGCUGAGGAGCGAAAGCGUGGGGAGCGAACAGG